CUGCGUGAACUUGGGGCUCACCGCUGCCCUCAGCUCCAGGUUCGGGGCGAGGUAAGACCUGGGGCGGGCGGGAGCACGGCUGCGAGGCGGGCAGCAGAGCGAAGCCGGCGCCAUGCCAGCGGUCCCAGGGUCCACCUGGAGGGCAGCGCAGGGGACCCCAGUUUCGGAGCUGGGAGGGAGCCUCAACGCCCACCCCAUCUGGCCUUGGCCGGGGGACUCCCGCGGCCCCACCAUCCGGCGAGGCCACGCGCUGGACCAGGUGGGAUAAUGAGGCCGUCCAGGCUCAGGAAUGGCCGAGGCGAGGCCAUCGAAGGGACCCACACGGGGCGGCAGGCUUUCCCCGCGGGGUCCGUUUCCUCACUCGAGAGGCGGCCGCUCUCCUGGUUCUUGAGGGGCUGCAAGCUCAGCGCCCUCCAGCUCAUGGCUCCCCGGCUGGUGGUGAAAGAGGAGGCUCUCCAAAUUUCCGCCACUCGGGGCCCUGCACUCCGCAGCCUCCGUCCCUUCGCUCCCCGACCCCUGGCACCCUGCCCGCCUUCGCUCUCCCUCCCCCGCCUCUGGGCCCGGCUGAAGCUCGCUUGGCGCGGGGAUCUCCCGCUAGGAAGCUGCGCACCUCGGCUAAAGCUGGGUCCCUGCCACUCUGCGGCACCUGGGACCCGCUUAAUCUUUUCUAGCUGCCUGUGGCUCAGGGGUGUUCUUGGGGCACAGAGUGCGGGUUCGGGAGAAAGCCGCGGGAGGGGUCGCUGAGUGCUGCGCAACUGAAAUGCCCAGGCCGCAGGUGCGCCCGCGUGUCUCGCACGCGGGGGCCACCGAGGGAGUGGGAAGUUGGGGGUGGACCAGAGUGGAAACCGACAGUGAAGGGGGAAAGGGACUGGCCAUGGCUUGGGAAUGGGCAGCGGGGCGAGAACUAGGAGUCUCCAAAGGGAAUGUCACGCGUGGUGGCGGCAGGAUCGGGGAAUGUGCUCGAAGGGUAGAGCCGUGCGUCGGGGCAGCGCUUGGCCUGCGGGGCGCUUAGCCAAACGGAGAGGCCAGAAAGCGGGGUAAGAGGACGGACUCCGGGGAGGCGGCAGGACUGCACGCGCGCCCGGAGCACGAGCCCGGCCAGCUGAGAAGGUGCCUUCUCUCCCGGCCUUCGGCGACACUGAUUCAGUGGCGCUCCUCGGAGACUCCCUGGCCUCGUGGUCAUUGCCGGAGGGCGUCCCUCCUCUCCUCGGCAGCGCAGAGCGAGUGCAGGAGGCGGAUCCUGGACUGUGAACUGACGCGCGGCGCACACCGGCCAUGAACCUGGAGGGCAGCGGCCGAGGCGGAGAGUUCGGCAUGAGCUCCGUGAGCUGCGGCAACGGGAAGCUCCGCCAGUGGCUCAUCGACCAGAUCGACAGCGGCAAGUACCCGGGGCUGGUGUGGGAGAACGAGGAGAAAAGCAUCUUCCGCAUCCCCUGGAAGCACGCGGGCAAGCAGGACUACAACCGCGAGGAGGACGCCGCCCUCUUCAAGGCUUGGGCGCUAUUUAAAGGAAAGUUCCGAGAAGGCAUCGACAAGCCAGACCCUCCCACCUGGAAGACACGCUUACGCUGUGCUCUGAACAAGAGCAACGACUUCGAGGAGCUGGUGGAGAGGAGCCAGCUGGACAUCUCGGACCCCUACAAAGUGUACAGGAUCGUCCCCGAGGGGGCCAAGAAAGGAGCCAAGCAGCUGACCCUGGAGGACCCACAGAUGCCCAUGAGCCACCCCUACGGCAUGCCAGCCCCUUACACCUCACUCCCAGCUCAGGUUCACAACUAUAUGAUUCCGCCCCACGACCGAGGAUGGAGGGAGUUCGUCCCUGAUCAGCCACACCCGGAGAUCCCAUACCAGUGUCCUGUGACCUUUGGACCCCGCAGCCACCACUGGCAAGGCCCGGCCUGUGAAAAUGGUUGCCAGGUGACAGGAACCUUUUAUGCUUGUGCCCCGCCUGAGUCCCAGGCCCCCGGAAUCCCCAUAGAGCCAAGCAUAAGGUCUGCCGAAGCCUUGGCCCUCUCAGACUGCCGGCUCCACAUCUGCCUGUACUACCGGGAAAUCCUGGUGAAAGAGCUGACCACGUCCAGCCCCGAAGGCUGCCGGAUCUCCCAUGGCCACACCUACGAUGCCAGCAGCCUGGACCAGGUCGUUUUUCCCUACCCAGAGGACAGCGGCCAGAGGAAGAACAUUGAGAAGCUGCUGAGCCAUCUGGAAAGGGGCGUGGUCCUCUGGAUGGCCCCCGAUGGGCUUUAUGCCAAGAGACUUUGCCAGAGCAGGAUCUACUGGGACGGGCCCCUGGCGCUGUGCAGUGACCGGCCCAACAAGCUGGAGAGAGAGCAGACCUGCAAGCUGUUUGACACACAGCAGUUCUUAUCAGGUAAGGCAGCCAGCUUCUGUCAGAAUGGCGGGAGUGGAGCUGCGGAUGGCGCUCCGGCCACGGGGUCAGAAGCAGCAGGCCAGUUGCUCCUGGUCUUCCUUCUGUGUAACCUGGAGCCCCCAGGCAUGAUCCUGGAAUGGGUUUCCUGUCUGCUCACCUGUCACCCCAUCACAGAGGAGUAGGAAGAGGAGGGGUAGUGAGGGGGCUGAGGUUCAGGCCGAGGUCUUGAAAUUCUGGUGUUGACCCACUGCUCACCAACUAAUCAGGUUCACGUUUUUAUUGCCUCUGUGAUUUGCUGAUGUUUCAGCGCUUUUAAGGUUCCUAGACAAAUCGUAAGGUUGGCAGUGCAUUGUUGGCACUCUUGGUUAUGAGAUGUGUCAUUCUCAGGUAGAGGCCUUUCAGCAGGUGGGACCGGGGUGAGUGCAGUGAACUGAUUUUGCAGAGGGGAAAUCGUGAGACGGUGCUGAGUUGUCUCUAGGUUUCAAAUCACAUUUUCCGGGACCCGUCGGUUUUGUUUCCCCAGUUCUGAUUUCAUGGCAGUUCGACUAGCUCUGGGCCACUCUCUUGAGACCCCUGCCCCCUUUUUGUGGAGGCCUCACCAAGCGUCCCUGAGCCGUCGGUGUUCACGAGGCUUUCUGGAGGGAGGCGGUUCUGCCUGCCCACUGGCACCCCUCCCUGACGAUCUUAUCCGCAGCCCCGCUUCGGAAGCACCCUUUGGGCUCUCGGUGCCUCUCCAGUCCCUGAAGUGCUUUGUGCCCUGCUUUGUGUAAACCAAACACGGCACCCCUGCUGCACCGCCAGAGACACAGGCUCAGCCUUGGGGUUUGGGGGUUCAGUGUCUGGACUCUCUGCGCUCACCUGGAUUCUCUUUUGCCGCCCAAGCAAACACAUCCCCCGACCAUGAACCCCCCCACAGAGGCCAGACGAGGCGGGGAUGCCGAGUCUCUGGUCCCCCCUCCUUGGUCUGAAGCCUCCCCCACCCAGAGUGGCAGCACUGCCUCCAUGUGGGUUUUCCGUUGGUCCUGGGGUCCAGGGGUCCAGCGUGUGGAUGCAGUGAGGCCUGCGAAGGAGCCGAGAGCCGCAGCUCUGGUGUCUGGGGUCCCACAGAACCCUGGGGGGGGUCUCCUCCGAGGUUGCGGACCUUGGGGUGGGAAGAUGCCGCGGGACAGGGAUGUUCACUACGGUUCCCACAAGGGCAGCCUUGCCCUCCGGGUUCUGUCCCCGGCCUGCCUUGGGGAUUGACCCUCAUCCGACCUCGGCGGCCCCUGCAAGACGGGCAAGAGGCCUCCGGCCAUGCGCUCACUCCCUAGGUGUCUGCGCCCAGGGCUUUCGGGCUUUUCCCUUCCUCUGACCCCGGGCUGUGCCCUUACUUCAGGGCAGCCUCUUAUCUAAAGCAUGUGCUGAGGUUCAAGGAGGAACCCAGGAACCCAAGUGCAGACCAGCAGGCAUCUUGGCGCGAGUUUCAGGGAACCGCGCCAGCCUGCCGCUGGGAGCAGCCUCCCACCUCAUGGUGUGGGGGCCUUGCACAUGUUCUGACGAAGUUAGGUUAGAUUUGAAUUCUGGAAGAAAAAAGAAGCAGGAAGUCAAAUGGUCCAGUGAGUUAGCUAGAAACUUCACUUCAGUUGAAGAGAACAGUGGAAAUCUUUGAUAUCUACCCCUUCAGGGCCUGCAGAGUCCUGGGGACAGCCCCGCACGCAGCCCGAGGCAGCCGCAGCUCUGCAGACGUGGCAGCAGCUGUGUGAGCGCCUUUCUUCUGAGGACGUGACGUUUGACUCUAGAAGAAGCGGCUGGAGGCCCCCUCCAGCCUGAGUGUGUCGAGAGGGCAGGGGCCCGCUGGGUGAAAGCGGGGAUCCCCCAGCACAUCUUGGGGUGGCAGAGGUGGCUUCAGGCACAUGUCCACCAAAGUGGGGCCCAGGGUUUCAUCGCCACCUCUCACCUCCAGUGCCAGAAGGCACACCGUCUGGGAUGCAGCUCGGUCUCCAAGACAACAUGAGGCACUUUCUGUGGUGCCUGAGUCACGUGGAGAUCCCGGGGAGCCCAGAUACUGGGUUAGAAGGCUCAGCAGUUUUGAGAAGAGAUUUUUAAGUAAACCUGGGUCCAAUCAGAAAAUUCUGUUUUUUUUUAAAAAAAGAUGUCUCUUGGGUGUAAAUUAUUCUUUUGGCUCAACGUGGCUGCGUUUCGCUCUCUUCCUCUUUGACCCCUUGCUGCCACCUUUGCUUCUUCAUGGGUCCAGGGCUGCAAAGCCAGGCUCUCCGUCUCAGGGUGAAUUUCCCUGAGGGGAAGGCUGCAGCCCUCGGGAGAGACGCUGUGAACACGGGUGUGUGCCCUUCCCUGGAGGCCCACCUCACCCCCGGUCUAGUCCCGCAUCCUCGCAGGCGCCCUGCUCUAGCCCGCGUCCAGGGCAAGGGUUUCUGAGCGGCUCCUCUCACGGUCUCUGCAGAGCUCCAGGCAUUUGCUCACCACGGCCGGCCCCUGCCAAGGUUCCAGGUGACUCUGUGCUUCGGGGAAGAGUUUCCGGACCCCCAGAGGCAACGGAAGCUCAUCACUGCUCACGUCGAACCUCUCCUAGCCAGGCAGCUGUACUAUUUUGCUCAGCAGAACAGUGGACACUUCCUGAGGGGCUACGAUCUGCCCGAGCACGUGGGCAGCCCGGAGGACUUCCACAGGUCCAUGCGCCACUCCUCCAUUCAAGAGUGAACCUCCAGGCCGAGAGGCCGUCGCCUUGUAAAUGCCCGACUCUGAGAACAGCGGGUUGAGCCCCCACUUUUUCUUUCGAGGGACGUGGAGACUGGGGCUUCGCUUCCACACUUGCGGACAAUGUGUGUGGACACUCUUCUCCCCCGAAUUGACAGACACGCUUUUUCCAAAAGCAAAGAUGGCAUUCGAGGUCUUCUGCCAACACCACACCAAUGAUAAUGUGAAAAGCUCACCCAAGUGUCUUUAUGUUUACCGAAGUGCUGUCUCCAAUCGGACACGGACUCUCCUCCUGGAGCCCAGAGAGAGCCUGCACCCGUCACCCCGACGACAGCAUGAGAGCUCCAGGUGCUGUGUUUCUCAGGGAAGUCAAGGUCUGAGGCUGUUCUGCCCCCAGAAGAGACAUGCUGAUACCUCUUCGCUGUGUUCUGCAAAGCCUGCCCAGAGCAGGGCACAUGCUCUGCUGCGGGUGGGCCAUGCCUCGGAGCCCAGAAGCCGGAUGGAGAGACUCUGUUGCUUUCUUGAGCCAAAAAGCAGUAGGGCCCCCUGAGUAGUGCGUUUUGUCCUGUGCUGACUGGUUAAGACAUUUCUUGUUUGUCUUUUUGUAUCUCUUCCUAUAGACAUUGUUGCUGAAACUUUUUUCUUAAAGACAAAGAAAACCACCCAGACCAACAAGCCAAGGUUUGGAACUUGGUGGAGGUUCCCUCCUGCCCUGCUUGUUUUGUUUGGAGGCCGGUUCUCCAUGACAACCCCAAGAGGAGGAGCCAGAGCUUGUCAAAGUGGUGACCUCUGUAGGAAAGAUAGGACAGGGCCUCAGGGAUUGUGUAACUGCAGACUCAGUGGGCUGUUUCUGCUUAUUUUGUAUAUUAUAUGCUUCCUCAUGCCAGUAACAGUUUGACAGGGCCUUAAAAUUCCUGGGCUUUUUCCAAAUCCAUCUUUUUAUAGAACCACUGAGAUCUCCACUUGCUUAAGUAAACUUGCACUUAUGUUCCUUUUGGAAACAUACAGGUGUCUAGGCUGUGAUGGAGCUGCUGAUACUUUUGUCCCGCUAGGAAGUAACUGCCAUUACUUUUAAGCUCAGCAAUAGACUUGUUCUCAAAUAUUCUAUUCUAAUAUUUUUAAAUUCAUUUAACAAACUGUAUCCCUUGCAUUAGAGAGAUUACAGCUUUUAUGCAGUUUAGUCAGCAACGAAGUCUUGGAAUGUCAUUUCUUUCUUGUUUGGGGGAGGUUUUUAGCAAUAAAAAAACACAUAUUGACCC
Molecule: long non-coding RNA, 6324 nt
Filed under: Sus scrofa (pig)
Lineage: Eukaryota; Metazoa; Chordata; Mammalia; Artiodactyla; Suidae
Description: lncRNA (ENSSSCG00035036911.1)
Source: RNAcentral